RNAcentral lists this ribosomal RNA (475 nucleotides) under Scardovia sp. oral taxon 195. RNAcentral describes it as "bacterial SSU rRNA". It matches the Rfam family "Bacterial small subunit ribosomal RNA", at positions 28 to 500 of the family's 1533-position model. Lineage: Bacteria; Bacillati; Actinomycetota; Actinomycetes; Bifidobacteriales; Bifidobacteriaceae. The record is from RNAcentral.
GACGAACGCUGGCGGCGUGCUUAACACAUGCAAGUCGAACGGGAUCCACUGGGCUUUUGUUUGGUGGUGAGAGUGGCGAACGGGUGAGUAAUGCGUGACUAACCUGCCGUAUGGUUGGGGAUAGCUCCUGGAAACGGGUGGUAAUACCCAAUGCUCCAGCUGGAUGCAUGUCUGGUUGGGAAAGCUUUUGUGCCAUAUGAUGGGGUCGCGUCCUAUCAGCUUGUUGGUGGGGUGAUGGCCUACCAAGGCGUCGACGGGUAGCCGGCCUAAGAGGGCGACCGGCCACAUUGGGACUGAGAUACGGCCCAGACUCCUACGGGAGGCAGCAGUGGGGAAUAUUGCACAAUGGGCGCAAGCCUGAUGCAGCGACGCCGCGUGCGGGAUGGAGGCCUUCGGGUUGUAAACCGCUUUUAUAGGGGGGCAAGCUAUGCCUGUGUGGUGUGGUGAGUGGACUUUAUGAAUAAGCACCGGCUAA